UACGGAGGAUGCAAGCGUUAUCCGGAAUGAUUGGGCGUAAAGCGUCCGCAGGUGGCUAUGUAAGUCUGCUGUUAAAGAGUCUAGCUCAACUAGAUAAGAGCAGUGGAAACUACGAGGCUAGAGUACGUUCGGGGCAGAGGGAAUUCCUGGUGUAGCGGUGAAAUGCGUAGAGAUCAGGAAGAACACCAGUGGCGAAGGCGCUCUGCUAGGCCGUAACUGACACUGAGGGACGAAAGCUAGGGGAGCGAAUGGG
Molecule: ribosomal RNA, 253 nt
Filed under: uncultured bacterium
Lineage: Bacteria
Description: partial 16S ribosomal RNA
Rfam family: Bacterial small subunit ribosomal RNA
Source: RNAcentral